Molecule: non-coding RNA, 454 nt
Organism: Schizosaccharomyces pombe (fission yeast)
Lineage: Eukaryota; Fungi; Ascomycota; Schizosaccharomycetes; Schizosaccharomycetales; Schizosaccharomycetaceae
Source: the annotation of a GenBank genome assembly
UUAUACUACGUUAUAUAGUAUUACUAUUUUACAUGUCAGCAAUACUACACUAGCUACAUGUAAGCUACGCAGUUUGGUAUCUGAUUUAAGGAUACGUAGAACUGCGGUGAGUUUUCCUUGUGGUCUAUUAUAUUACAAUACACAGGUUGUAUAAGUAGCAACUGAGUAUAGGUAUUGUAUUAACUGGGUUAUAAUGUUACCUAUCACUAAUAUAGCUCAUAACUGAACUGAGGAACGAGGUUCAGUUGUAACGCUAUUUAUAAUAUUUCUAAAUAGUUGUUAUCAACGGGUAUCUAUGUAUAUAGACGGAUAGUUACCCGUGAUUAUCAAUAAACGGAUCUUAGCUAGUAUUCCAACAUAUGACAUAUAGUGAUACGCAACGUAAUGUAUCAUAGCGUAGUGUAGUAUUGCUGACACUACAGUUGUGCAACACUCACUGUAUGCCAUAUGUUAG